RNAcentral lists this ribosomal RNA (905 nucleotides) under Mycoplasmopsis canis. RNAcentral describes it as "bacterial SSU rRNA". It matches the Rfam family "Bacterial small subunit ribosomal RNA", at positions 11 to 916 of the family's 1533-position model. The record is from RNAcentral. Lineage: Bacteria; Bacillati; Mycoplasmatota; Mycoplasmoidales; Metamycoplasmataceae.
GUUUGAUCAUGGCUCAGGAUGAACGCUGGCUGUGUGCCUAAUACAUGCAUGUCGAGCGGAGUUCUUCGGAACUUAGCGGCGAAUGGGUGAGUAACACGUACUUAACAUGCCUUUUAGAUUGGGACAACGAUGAGAAAUUAUCGCUAAUACCGGAUACUUAUAUGGUUCGCAUGAACUAUAUAUAAAAGAAGCCUUUAAAGCUUCACUAAAAGAUUGGGGUGCGGAACAUUAGCUAGUUGGUAAGGUAAUGGCUUACCAAGGCGAUGAUGUUUAGCGGGGUUGAGAGACUGAUCCGCCACACUGGGACUGAGAUACGGCCCAGACUCCUACGGGAGGCAGCAGUAGGGAAUUUUCCACAAUGGACGAAAGUCUGAUGGAGCGACACAGCGUGCAGGAUGAAGGCCUUCGGGUUGUAAACUGCUGUUAUAAGGGAAGAAAAAGCAGUAGAGGAAAUGCUAUUGCCUUGACGGUACCUUGUCAGAAAGCAACGGCUAACUAUGUGCCAGCAGCCGCGGUAAUACAUAGGUUGCAAGCGUUAUCCGGAAUUAUUGGGCGUAAAGCGUCUGUAGGUUGUAUGUUAAGUCUGGCGUGAAAACUUGGGGCUCAACCCCAAAUUGCGUUGGAUACUGGCAUGCUAGAAUUGUGUAGAGGUUAGCGGAAUUCCUAGUGAAGCGGUGAAAUGCGUAGAUAUUAGGAAGAACAUCAACAUGGCGAAGGCAGCUAACUGGGCACAUAUUGACACUGAGAGACGAAAGCGUGGGGAGCAAACAGGAUUAGAUACCCUGGUAGUCCACGCUGUAAACGAUGAUGAUUAGCUGAUAGUAGAACUAUCGGCACAGCUAACGCAUUAAAUCAUCCGCCUGAGUAGUAUGCUCGCAAGAGUGAAACUUAAAGGAAAUUGACGG